UACGAAGGGGGCUAGCGUUGCUCGGAAUCACUGGGCGUAAAGGGUGCGUAGGCGGGUCUUUAAGUCAGGGGUGAAAUCCUGGAGCUCAACUCCAGAACUGCCUUUGAUACUGAAGAUCUUGAGUUCGGGAGAGGUGAGUGGAACUGCGAGUGUAGAGGUGAAAUUCGUAGAUAUUCGCAAGAACCCCAGUGGCGAAGGCGGCUCACUGGCCCGAUACUGACGCUGAGGCACGAAAGCGUGGGAGCAAACAGG
RNAcentral lists this ribosomal RNA (252 nucleotides) under uncultured bacterium. RNAcentral's name for it is "partial 16S ribosomal RNA". It matches the Rfam family "Bacterial small subunit ribosomal RNA", at positions 524 to 776 of the family's 1533-position model. The record is from RNAcentral.